CACGCUGUAAACUAUGGGUACUAGACGUCGGGAGUUCUUACCCUCUCGGUGUCGUAGCUAACGCGUUAAGUACCCCGCCUGGGAAGUACGGUCGCAAGAUUAAAACUCAAAGAAAUUGACGGGGGCCCGCACAAGCGGUGGAGUAUGUGGUUUAAUUCGACGCAACGCGAAAAACCUUACCUAGGCUUGACAUCCUACGCUAUCCUGUGAAAGCAGGAGUUCCCGCAAGGGACGUAGAGACAGGUGU
Molecule: ribosomal RNA, 247 nt
Filed under: uncultured bacterium
Lineage: Bacteria
Description: partial 16S ribosomal RNA
Rfam family: Bacterial small subunit ribosomal RNA
Source: RNAcentral